This 59-nucleotide non-coding RNA is filed under the name Anaerotruncus colihominis DSM 17241. Lineage: Bacteria; Bacillati; Bacillota; Clostridia; Eubacteriales; Oscillospiraceae. The record is from RNAcentral.
GCCUUAAUGCAGCUCCCCACAGGGAACGGUCGCCAGCCCGUGAAAAUGCAGAGCGAGGC